GUAUGGAGUUAAAUGCCAUCUGUACAGCAAUUUUCUAUGUGCUUCUUUAUGGGUGUAGCACUUAGUCAAUUUAGAUAUGUCAUUCAGUGCGUGGAUCCAUUCGUCAUCUUUGAGUUGGAUAGCGCAUUCUGUUUCCCACAUUGUUUUGCAAUGCGGUGUAGUGUUGGUUAGGGUAUCAUCCCAGGCCUUAUAGCAUAGGGAAAUAUUUUUCUUUUUCAUAGGGCCUUUCCAGCAUCUUUCUAUUAUCGCUUUUGCUGAAGAGGGGCUUGGGCUAGGGUUUUGUUGUUGUCUGUUUACGUGUGUGGUGAUGAUCCCUUUUAGUUGUAGGUAUGUGAAAAUAGUGUUUGCUGGUAAUUCCCAUUUCUGUUGUAUGUCCGUGAAGGUCAUUACUCCUUGUGAGUGUAAUAAUUGGUGAAUGUGCGUAAUACCUGCGUGUAACCAUGUCUGGAUAUGCAUGUCAGGUGAUAUGGCCCUUAGUGC
Molecule: non-coding RNA, 480 nt
Organism: Pelobates cultripes (western spadefoot toad)
Lineage: Eukaryota; Metazoa; Chordata; Amphibia; Anura; Pelobatidae
Source: the annotation of a GenBank genome assembly